This 327-nucleotide ribosomal RNA is filed under the name uncultured eukaryote. RNAcentral's name for it is "partial 18S ribosomal RNA". It matches the Rfam family "Eukaryotic small subunit ribosomal RNA", at positions 1470 to 1796 of the family's 1831-position model. The record is from RNAcentral.
CCCUUAGAUGUUCUGGGCCGCACGCGCGCUACACUGACGAAUGCAACGAGCUUAUAACCUUGGCCGAAAGGUUUGGGUAAUCUCCAAAUUUCGUCGUGAUGGGGAUAGAUUAUUGCAAUUAUUAAUCUUCAACGAGGAAUGCCUAGUAAGCGCAAGUCAUCAGCUUGCGUUGAUUACGUCCCUGCCCUUUGUACACACCGCCCGUCGCUCCUACCGAUUGAAUGGUCCGGUGAAGCGUUCGGACCGUGGCCUUUGGACGGUUCGCCGUCUGUUGGCUGCGGGAAGUUCGUUAAACCUUAUCAUUUAGAGGAAGGAGAANUCGUANCA